AGCGUACACGGUGGAUGCCCUGGCAGUCAGAGGCGAUGAAGGACGUGCUAAUCUGCGAUAAGCGUCGGUAAGGUGAUAUGAACCGUUAUAACCGGCGAUUUCCGAAUGGGGAAACCCAGUGUGUUUCGACACACUAUCAUUAACUGAAUCCAUAGGUUAAUGAGGCGAACCGGGGGAACUGAAACAUCUAAGUACCCCGAGGAAAAGAAAUCAACCGAGAUUCCCCCAGUAGCGGCGAGCGAACGGGGAGCAGCCCAGAGCCUGAAUCAGUGUGUGUGUUAGUGGAAGCGUCUGGAAAGGCGCGCGAUACAGGGUGACAGCCCCGUACACAAAAAUGCACAUGCUGUGAGCUCGAUGAGUAGGGCGGGACACGUGGUAUCCUGUCUGAAUAUGGGGGGACCAUCCUCCAAGGCUAAAUACUCCUGACUGACCGAUAGUGAACCAGUACCGUGAGGGAAAGGCGAAAAGAACCCCGGCGAGGGGAGUGAAAAAGAACCUGAAACCGUGUACGUACAAGCAGUGGGAGCACGCUUAGGCGUGUGACUGCGUACCUUUUGUAUAAUGGGUCAGCGACUUAUAUUCUGUAGCAAGGUUAACCGAAUAGGGGAGCCGAAGGGAAACCGAGUCUUAACUGGGCGUUAAGUUGCAGGGUAUAGACCCGAAACCCGGUGAUCUAGCCAUGGGCAGGUUGAAGGUUGGGUAACACUAACUGGAGGACCGAACCGACUAAUGUUGAAAAAUUAGCGGAUGACUUGUGGCUGGGGGUGAAAGGCCAAUCAAACCGGGAGAUAGCUGGUUCUCCCCGAAAGCUAUUUAGGUAGCGCCUCGUGAAUUCAUCUCCGGGGGUAGAGCACUGUUUCGGCAAGGGGGUCAUCCCGACUUACCAACCCGAUGCAAACUGCGAAUACCGGAGAAUGUUAUCACGGGAGACACACGGCGGGUGCUAACGUCCGUCGUGAAGAGGGAAACAACCCAGACCGCCAGCUAAGGUCCCAAAGUCAUGGUUAAGUGGGAAACGAUGUGGGAAGGCCCAGACAGCCAGGAUGUUGGCUUAGAAGCAGCCAUCAUUUAAAGAAAGCGUAAUAGCUCACUGGUCGAGUCGGCCUGCGCGGAAGAUGUAACGGGGCUAAACCAUGCACCGAAGCUGCGGCAGCGACGCUUAUGCGUUGUUGGGUAGGGGAGCGUUCUGUAAGCCUGCGAAGGUGUGCUGUGAGGCAUGCUGGAGGUAUCAGAAGUGCGAAUGCUGACAUAAGUAACGAUAAAGCGGGUGAAAAGCCCGCUCGCCGGAAGACCAAGGGUUCCUGUCCAACGUUAAUCGGGGCAGGGUGAGUCGACCCCUAAGGCGAGGCCGAAAGGCGUAGUCGAUGGGAAACAGGUUAAUAUUCCUGUACUUGGUGUUACUGCGAAGGGGGGACGGAGAAGGCUAUGUUGGCCGGGCGACGGUUGUCCCGGUUUAAGCGUGUAGGCUGGUUUUCCAGGCAAAUCCGGAAAAUCAAGGCUGAGGCGUGAUGACGAGGCACUACGGUGCUGAAGCAACAAAUGCCCUGCUUCCAGGAAAAGCCUCUAAGCAUCAGGUAACAUCAAAUCGUACCCCAAACCGACACAGGUGGUCAGGUAGAGAAUACCAAGGCGCUUGAGAGAACUCGGGUGAAGGAACUAGGCAAAAUGGUGCCGUAACUUCGGGAGAAGGCACGCUGAUAUGUAGGUGAAGUCCCUCGCGGAUGGAGCUGAAAUCAGUCGAAGAUACCAGCUGGCUGCAACUGUUUAUUAAAAACACAGCACUGUGCAAACACGAAAGUGGACGUAUACGGUGUGACGCCUGCCCGGUGCCGGAAGGUUAAUUGAUGGGGUUAGCGCAAGCGAAGCUCUUGAUCGAAGCCCCGGUAAACGGCGGCCGUAACUAUAACGGUCCUAAGGUAGCGAAAUUCCUUGUCGGGUAAGUUCCGACCUGCACGAAUGGCGUAAUGAUGGCCAGGCUGUCUCCACCCGAGACUCAGUGAAAUUGAACUCGCUGUGAAGAUGCAGUGUACCCGCGGCAAGACGGAAAGACCCCGUGAACCUUUACUAUAGCUUGACACUGAACAUUGAGCCUUGAUGUGUAGGAUAGGUGGGAGGCUUUGAAGUGUGGACGCCAGUCUGCAUGGAGCCGACCUUGAAAUACCACCCUUUAAUGUUUGAUGUUCUAACGUUGACCCGUGAUCCGGGUUGCGGACAGUGUCUGGUGGGUAGUUUGACUGGGGCGGUCUCCUCCUAAAGAGUAACGGAGGAGCACGAAGGUUGGCUAAUCCUGGUCGGACAUCAGGAGGUUAGUGCAAUGGCAUAAGCCAGCUUGACUGCGAGCGUGACGGCGCGAGCAGGUGCGAAAGCAGGUCAUAGUGAUCCGGUGGUUCUGAAUGGAAGGGCCAUCGCUCAACGGAUAAAAGGUACUCCGGGGAUAACAGGCUGAUACCGCCCAAGAGUUCAUAUCGACGGCGGUGUUUGGCACCUCGAUGUCGGCUCAUCACAUCCUGGGGCUGAAGUAGGUCCCAAGGGUAUGGCUGUUCGCCAUUUAAAGUGGUACGCGAGCUGGGUUUAGAACGUCGUGAGACAGUUCGGUCCCUAUCUGCCGUGGGCGCUGGAGAACUGAGGGGGGCUGCUCCUAGUACGAGAGGACCGGAGUGGACGCAUCACUGGUGUUCGGGUUGUCAUGCCAAUGGCACUGCCCGGUAGCUAAAUGCGGAAGAGAUAAGUGCUGAAAGCAUCUAAGCACGAAACUUGCCCCGAGAUGAGUUCUCCCUGACUCCUUGA
This 2787-nucleotide ribosomal RNA is filed under the name Escherichia coli. Its description in RNAcentral is "bacterial LSU rRNA". It matches the Rfam family "Bacterial large subunit ribosomal RNA". Lineage: Bacteria; Pseudomonadati; Pseudomonadota; Gammaproteobacteria; Enterobacterales; Enterobacteriaceae. The record is from RNAcentral.